Non-coding RNA from Prunus avium (sweet cherry), 83 nucleotides. NCBI's taxonomy places the organism in Eukaryota, Viridiplantae, Streptophyta, Magnoliopsida, Rosales, Rosaceae. The record is from RefSeq and is a predicted model, not a curated record.
UUUCGUCGGCUACGUUCGUCGUCAUCCGGCCACCAAAUCGGACGAAUUAGGCACCCGGGCACCAGGUGACCCGCAGGAGGGAC